AUUGAACGCUGGCGGCAGGCCUAACACAUGCAAGUCGAGCGGUAGCACAGAGAGCUUGCUCUCGGGUGACGAGCGGCGGACGGGUGAGUAAUGUCUGGGAAACUGCCUGAUGGAGGGGGAUAACUACUGGAAACGGUAGCUAAUACCGCAUAACGUCGCAAGACCAAAGAGGGGGACCUUCGGGCCUCUUGCCAUCAGAUGUGCCCAGAUGGGAUUAGCUAGUAGGUGGGGUAAUGGCUC
Molecule: ribosomal RNA, 240 nt
Filed under: Enterobacter sp.
Lineage: Bacteria; Pseudomonadati; Pseudomonadota; Gammaproteobacteria; Enterobacterales; Enterobacteriaceae
Description: partial 16S ribosomal RNA
Rfam family: Bacterial small subunit ribosomal RNA
Source: RNAcentral